CGCCUUCAACAAUGAGCAAUGACCAUACCGCAUAGUCAGCUAUAAAAGGCCCCGAUAAGACAAUGUAAAACAAUUCAAACGAGAAAACUAACGGCCUUAUUUUUGUAAAAAAAUGAAAGAAAAACAAAUAUGUAACAUAUAAACAAACGUCAACCACUGAAUUACAGGCUCCUGACUUGGGACAGUACAUACAUUAAUAAUGUGGCGGGGUUAAACAUGUUAGCGGGAUCCCAACCCUCCCC
This 242-nucleotide long non-coding RNA is filed under the name Mytilus galloprovincialis (Mediterranean mussel). The record is from RNAcentral. Lineage: Eukaryota; Metazoa; Mollusca; Bivalvia; Mytilida; Mytilidae.